RNAcentral lists this ribosomal RNA (655 nucleotides) under uncultured archaeon. RNAcentral describes it as "bacterial SSU rRNA". It matches the Rfam family "Archaeal small subunit ribosomal RNA", at positions 175 to 817 of the family's 1478-position model. The record is from RNAcentral.
AGGAGUCCUAGUUCAAAGGGUUGUGAAUUGGAACAUUACCGCUUUACGAUGAGACUGCAGCGGAUCAGGCUGUUGGCGGGGUAACGGCCCACCAAACCGAUAACCUGUAGGGGAUAUGAGAGUAUGAGCCCCGAGAAGGGCACUGAGACAAGGGCCCUAGCGCUACGGCGUGCAGCAGGCGCGCAAACUCCACAAUGCGCGGAAGCGUGAUGGGGGGAAUCUGAGCGGUUCACUUCGGUGAAUCUUUUGCCAAGUUUAGUUAGCUUGGCGAAUAAGUGCUGGGCAAGACCGGUGGCAGCCGCCACGGUAAUACCGGCAGCACAAGUGGUGUCCACGAUUAUUGGGCUUAAAGCGCUCGUAGCUGGCCAUUACCGUCUCGUGUGAAAUAUUGGUGCUCAACAUCAAUGCGUGCACGGGAUACCUAUUGGCUAGGGAGCGGGUGAGGUCAGGAGUACUUAUGGGGAAGGGGUAAAAUCCUAUAAUCCUAUAAGGACUAACGGUGGCGAAGGCGCCUGACUAGAACGCAUCCGACAGUGAUGAGCGAAGGCUAGGAGAACGAAUCGGAUUAGAUACCCGAGUAGCCCUAGCAGUAAAUUAUGCAGACUCUGAUGUUGCAGAUAUCUCGAAUAUCUGCAGUACCGUAGCGCAAGUGUUA